This 418-nucleotide ribosomal RNA is filed under the name uncultured soil bacterium. RNAcentral describes it as "bacterial SSU rRNA". It matches the Rfam family "Bacterial small subunit ribosomal RNA", at positions 26 to 444 of the family's 1533-position model. The record is from RNAcentral.
AGAUUGAACGCUGGCGGCAGGCCUAACACAUGCAAGUCGAGCGGUAGAGAGGUGCUUGCAUCUCUUGAGAGCGGCGGACGGGUGAGUAAUGCCUAGGAAUCUGCCUAGUGGUGGGGGAUAACGUUCGGAAACGGACGCUAAUACCGCAUACGUCCUACGGGAGAAAGCGGGGGACCUUCGGGCCUCGCGCCAUUAGAUGAGCCUAGGUCGGAUUAGCUAGUUGGUGAGGUAAUGGCUCACCAAGGCGACGAUCCGUAACUGGUCUGAGAGGAUGAUCAGCCACACUGGGACUGAGACACGGCCCAGACCUCCGUACGGAGCAGCAGUAGGGAAUAUUGGACAAUGGGACGAAAGCCUAGAUCCAAGCAAUGACCGCGUGAGUGAUGAAGGUCUUAGGUGUAAAGCUACUUUACCCGAG